AGUUGAGCGGAGAUAUAUGGAGCUUGCUUUAUAUAACUUAGCAGCGAACGGGUGAGUAACACGUAGAUAAUCUAUCCUAUACUGGGGGAUAGCCCGAUGAAAGUUGGAUUAAUACCGCAUAUAGCUAUAUAGUUGCAUGAUUAUGUAGUGAAAGAUUUAUUGGUAUAGGAGGAGUCUGCGGCACAUUAGCUAGUAGGUGAGGUAAAGGCUUACCUAGGCGACGAUGUGUAGCCGGUCUGAGAGGAUGAACGGCCACAAUGGAACUGAGACACGGUCCAUACUCCUACGGGAGGCAGCAGUGGGGAAUAUUGCACAAUGGGGGAAACCCUGAUGCAGCAACGCCGCGUGAGUGAAGAAGGUUUUCGGAUUGUAAAGCUCUGUUAGCAGGGAAGAGGAAGGACGGUACCUGCAGAGGAAGCCACGGCUAACUACGUGCCAGCAGCCGCGGUAAUACGUAGGUGGCAAGCGUUGUUCGGAAUAACUGGGCGUAAAGGAUGCGUAGGCGAUUAAACAAGUUAUAUGUUAAAUAUAUAGGCUUAACCUGUAGAAAGCAUAUAAAACUGUUUAACUAGAGUGCAGGAGAGGUAAGUGGAAUUCCUAGUGUAGCGGUGAAAUGCGUAGAGAUUAGGAAGAACACCAGUGGCGAAGGCGACUUACUGGACUGUAACUGACGCUGAGGCAUGAGAGCAUGGGGAGCAAACAGGAUUAGAUACCCUGGUAGU
RNAcentral lists this ribosomal RNA (722 nucleotides) under uncultured bacterium. RNAcentral's name for it is "bacterial SSU rRNA". It matches the Rfam family "Bacterial small subunit ribosomal RNA", at positions 60 to 794 of the family's 1533-position model. The record is from RNAcentral.